This 501-nucleotide long non-coding RNA is filed under the name Medicago truncatula (barrel medic). RNAcentral's name for it is "lncRNA gene18976". The record is from RNAcentral. Lineage: Eukaryota; Viridiplantae; Streptophyta; Magnoliopsida; Fabales; Fabaceae.
ACUCGAACCAAUAAGCUAAUAUCUUUGACGACAAAUUCGUAAUAAUAAGAUCUGCGAAAUUACAAAAUAAAAUAAAAUAAAAUACAAUCACAUGGUGCCAUCACAAAGAUUAAAUGGCAAUUCGUGGAAUAUUCUUGCAUAAGAUGUAAGUGUAAGAACUCAUUCUUUUGUGCAUGAUAUUUGUGUACUCUCUUAGAUAUGAUACUCAGACAUUAGGUGGCAUAAACAUAACAAUUUUGCACCGAUUGUUAUGGCAAAUAUGCCUAUAAAACUUCGACGAAACUUGUUUACAAUGAUCAUCAGUGCUACACUCAGGAAGAUUUCCUGCAACGAAAAAAAAGAGUGAAAAAAUUCAUGUUACUAAAAGGAGAUAUAAGAUUGUGUACGAACUAUACAGGAAACAAGGAAAUUUGAAACAAUGAAAAUACAACUUACUCUUACCGCUAACCUCCUUAACAAUAAGAAGCCUGAAAAGAAAUAAAAGCAUGGCAUAAAAAAUUU